RNAcentral lists this small RNA (78 nucleotides) under Flavobacterium crassostreae. RNAcentral's name for it is "Flavo-1 RNA". It matches the Rfam family "Flavo-1 RNA". Lineage: Bacteria; Pseudomonadati; Bacteroidota; Flavobacteriia; Flavobacteriales; Flavobacteriaceae. The record is from Rfam by way of RNAcentral.
AUUUAGCCCUAAUAGAAGCGGCAUCCUCUUGUGUUGCGAUAGCAAAAACAAGAGAUACAGCGGAUAGUAGGUGGGUGU